Molecule: ribosomal RNA, 514 nt
Filed under: uncultured bacterium
Lineage: Bacteria
Description: partial 16S ribosomal RNA
Rfam family: Bacterial small subunit ribosomal RNA
Source: RNAcentral
GAUGAACGCUGGCGGCGUGCCUAAUACAUGCAAGUCGAGCGAAUGGAUUAAGAGCUUGCUCUUAUGAAGUUAGCGGCGGACGGGUGAGUAACACGUGGGUAACCCGCCCAUGAGACUGGGAUAACUCCGGGAAACCGGGGCUAAUACCGGAUAACAUUUUGAACCGCAUGGUUCGAAAUCGAAAGGCGGCUUCGGCUGUCACUUAUGGAUGGACCCGCGUCGCAUUAGCUAGUUGGUGAGGUAACGGCCCACCAAGGCAACGAUGCGUAGCCGACCUGAGAGGGUGAUCGGCCAGACUGGGACUGAGACACGGCCCAGACUCCUACGGGAGGCAGCAGUAGGGAAUCUUCCGCAAUGGACGAAAGUCUGACGGAGCAACGCCGCGUGAGUGAUAAAGGCUUUCGGGUCGUAAAACUCUGUUGUUAGGGAAGAACAAGUGCUAGUUGAAUAAGCUGACACCUUGACGGUACCUAACCAGAAAGCCACGGCUAACUACGUGCCAGCGCCGCGGUAA